This 547-nucleotide ribosomal RNA is filed under the name uncultured bacterium. Its description in RNAcentral is "bacterial SSU rRNA". It matches the Rfam family "Bacterial small subunit ribosomal RNA", at positions 777 to 1314 of the family's 1533-position model. The record is from RNAcentral.
AAUAGAUACCCCGGUAGUCCACGCCGUAAACGGUGGGCACUAGGUGUGGGCGACAUUCCACGUCGUCCGUGCCGCAGCUAACGCAUUAAGUGCCCCGCCUGGGGAGUACGGCCGCAAGGCUAAAACUCAAAGGAAUUGACGGGGGGCCCGCACAAGCGGCGGAGCAUGUGGCUUAAUUCGACGCAACGCGAAGAACCUUACCAAGGCUUGACAUACACCGGAAACGUCCAGAGAUGGGCGCCCCCUUGUGGUCGGUGUACAGGUGGUGCAUGGCUGUCGUCAGCUCGUGUCGUGAGAUGUUGGGUUAAGUCCCGCAACGAGCGCAACCCUUGUCCCGUGUUGCCAGCAGGCCCUUGUGGUGCUGGGGACUCACGGGAGACCGCCGGGGUUAACUCGGAGGAAGGUGGGGACGACGUCAAGUCAUCAUGCCCCUUAUGUCUUGGGCUGCACACGUGCUACAAUGGCCGGUACAAUGAGCUGCGAUACCGCGAGGUGGAGCGAAUCUCAAAAAGCCGGUCUCAGUUCGGAUUGGGGUCUGCAACGUCCG